Schizosaccharomyces pombe (fission yeast) is the source of this 218-nucleotide non-coding RNA. The record is from the annotation of a GenBank genome assembly. NCBI's taxonomy places the organism in Eukaryota, Fungi, Ascomycota, Schizosaccharomycetes, Schizosaccharomycetales, Schizosaccharomycetaceae.
AUACGGAGGAACAAGUAUACCAUGAAUCUUGUCGACGUGGAUUAAGGUACAAGUCAAGAAGAAAAUACUUGAUGAUCACAAGUAAAUCGUUAAUGCAUCUACUACCUUUCAGUCUAGAGCGAUAAUAUCCAAACAGUACUUGAGAUUGAGCAUAGUAGAGCCCCCUAACACGAUCAUCCACAACCUUGCUACCAAUUUCGCGUAAACCAAGGAUGUCA